GAACAUCAAAGAAGAGCCCCAUUACAGCUGAGCACUGUACAGAAUUGCAAUAGUAUCUAGUGUCGUUAAGAGAGCUCUUAUAAACAAACAAAAUAUUUGUGGCAAGAUGUUUAGAACAGGUACUUAUAGAAUCCUAGAGUGAGCGUCUAGACGGGGGGGACAUGGCACUCAGGACAGUGACCACAAACACACAACUAAUGUCAUUAAGAGCUAUCUUCAGCAUAAAGAAGAACAAGGAGUACUGGAAGUGAUGAAAUGGCUCCCACAGAGCCCUGAUCUCAACAUCAACGAGUCUGUCUGGGAUUACAUGAAGAGACAGAAGGAUUUGAGUAAGCCUACAUCCACUGAAGAUCUGUGGUUAGUUUUCCCAAGAUGUUUGGAACAACCUCCCUGCCAAGUUCCUUCAAAACCUGUG
Long non-coding RNA from Pseudophryne corroboree (corroboree frog), 415 nucleotides. RefSeq lists it as uncharacterized. The record is from RefSeq and is a predicted model, not a curated record. The transcript has 4 exons. Lineage: Eukaryota; Metazoa; Chordata; Amphibia; Anura; Myobatrachidae.